UGGCCAGACUCCUACGGGAGGCAGCAGUGGGGAAUAUUGCACAAUGGGCGAAAGCCUGAUGCAGCAACGCCGCGUGAAGGAAGAAGGGUUUCGGCUCGUAAACUUCUAUCAACAGGGACGAAAGAAAUGACGGUACCUGAAUAAGAAGCCCCGGCUAACUACGUGCCAGCAGCCGCGGUAAUACGUAGGGGGCAAGCGUUAUCCGGAUUUACUGGGUGUAAAGGGAGCGUAGACGGCGAUGCAAGCCAGAUGUGAAAGCCCGGGGCUCAACCCCGGGACUGCAUUUGGAACUGUGUGGCUGGGGUGUCGGAGAGGCAGGCGGAAUUCCUAGUGUAGCGGUGAAAUGCGUAGAUAUUAGGAGGAACACCAGUGGCGAAGGCGGCCUGCUGGACGAUGACUGACGUUGAGGCUCGAAAGCGUGGGGAGCAAACAGGAUUAGAUACCCGAGUACG
This 452-nucleotide ribosomal RNA is filed under the name uncultured bacterium. RNAcentral's name for it is "bacterial SSU rRNA". It matches the Rfam family "Bacterial small subunit ribosomal RNA", at positions 328 to 793 of the family's 1533-position model. The record is from RNAcentral.